CAGUUUUGGCGGAGCCAUCCUUGGGAUACCACCCUUGUAGUACUGGGACUCUAACCAUAGGCCAUGAAUCUGGUCUUGGGACACUGUCAGGUGGGCAGUUUGACUGGGGCGGUCGCCUCCCAAAAGGUAACGGAGGCGCUCAAAGGUUCUCUCAGUACGGUCGGAAAUCGUACGUAGAGUGUAAAGGCAAAAGAGAGCUUGAUUGCAAGACAUACAGGUCGAGCAAGGAUGAAAAUCGGACUUAGUGAUCCGGUGGUUCUGCGUGGAAGGGCCAUCGCUCAACGGAUAAAAGCUACCCUGGGGAUAACAGGCUUAUCUCCCCCAAGAGUCCACAUCGACGGGGAGGUUUGGCACCUCGAUGUCGGCUCAUCACAUCCUGGGGCUGUAGUAGGUCCCAAGGGUUGGGCUGUUCGCCCAUUAAAGUGGUACGCGAGCUGGGUUCAGAACGUCGUGAGACAGUUCGGUCCCUAUCCGUCGCAGGCGUAGGAAAUUUGAGAAGACCUGUCCUUAGUACGAGAGGACCGGGAUGGACGUACCUCUGGUGUACCAGUUGUCCUGCCAAGGGCAUGGCUGGGUAGCUAUGUACGGAAUGGAUAAGCGCUGAAAGCAUCUAAGCGCGAAGCCAACUUCAAGAUAAGAUUUCCCACCGCAAGGGUAAGACCCCAGAAAGACUAUCUGGUUGAUAGGUCGAAGGUGUAAGU
This 701-nucleotide ribosomal RNA is filed under the name Clostridioides difficile. RNAcentral describes it as "bacterial LSU rRNA". It matches the Rfam family "Bacterial large subunit ribosomal RNA", at positions 2172 to 2874 of the family's 2925-position model. Lineage: Bacteria; Bacillati; Bacillota; Clostridia; Peptostreptococcales; Peptostreptococcaceae. The record is from RNAcentral.